UACGAAGGGGGCUAGCGUUGUUCGGAAUUACUGGGCGUAAAGCGCGCGUAGGCGGACCUGCAAGUCGGGGGUGAAAGCCCGAGGCUCAACCUCGGAACUGCCUUCGAUACUGCGGGUCUCGAGUCCGGGAGAGGUGAGUGGAAUUCCUAGUGUAGAGGUGAAAUUCGUAGAUAUUAGGAAGAACACCAGUGGCGAAGGCGGCUCACUGGCUCGGUACUGACGCUGAGGCGCGAAAGCGUGGGGAGCAAACAGG
Molecule: ribosomal RNA, 253 nt
Filed under: uncultured bacterium
Lineage: Bacteria
Description: partial 16S ribosomal RNA
Rfam family: Bacterial small subunit ribosomal RNA
Source: RNAcentral